Molecule: non-coding RNA, 902 nt
Organism: Paramuricea clavata
Lineage: Eukaryota; Metazoa; Cnidaria; Anthozoa; Malacalcyonacea; Plexauridae
Source: the annotation of a GenBank genome assembly
CGGGUUAGCUAGCCAUGAAAGAACACAUACUGGAGAAAAACCUUAUGAAUGUGAUGUUUCCAAAAAAAGAUUUUUGCAUCAAAGUAGUUUUGCUAAACACAAAAGAACACAUACUGGAGACAGACCUUAUGAAUAUCACAUUUGGAACACAAAAUUUUCAGAAUCACACAGUUUAACACGACAUAAAAUAUCAGCACACAUGGUAAAGCAGUGUUUUGAAUGCGCUACAUGUAAGAAAAUAUUCACACAACCUAAAAGUCUCAAAGGUCACUGGAGAGUACAUUCAAGAGAUGGCUUAUUAUUCUGCAACAGUUGUGGCAGAGAAAUUAUUCAGUUGCAAGGUUAAGGACAUGCUAAUGAGAUACAGAAGAGUGAUGAUCAUUUUGUCUGUGACAAAUGCAACAAAAAGUACCCUGAUAUUGUAAGUUUAUAUCAACACAAGGCCGGAGACCAUGGUACGUCCUACCAAUGUGAUGUCUGUAAGGAAUUAGAAGCAAGAGAAGCAACUGGUAUUGGUUAUAUCUGUUGUGUCUGUGAUGCCGAGUUUGAAAUUGCCACUAAACUUGAAUAUCAUAUUAUUAUGCAUGACAAUGUGGUGCCCCACUAGCAAGGCAAGAUAAAUUGAAACUAUUUUGGGUUUUACUAGGCUGAUGCGAUAUGAAAAAGUCAAUAUAUUGAUAUCGAACAAAAAUAUCGACUAUAUCGAAUUAUGAAGAAGUUGGAAAACGUAGUUCAGUCAGCCUGCAUGUAUACCACGUCACACCACUGGGUGGGGCCUGGGUACAAGGUUGCACUGGGUGGAUGGAUUAUAAAUAGCCUAUUAUAAUAAUAACCCAUGGUAUUUCAUGUAACCGAAAAUUUGUAUUAUUAUUUUGUGCAGUUGGUUUUGAAAAUAAAAAUGU